Pteronotus mesoamericanus is the source of this 106-nucleotide small nuclear RNA. NCBI's taxonomy places the organism in Eukaryota, Metazoa, Chordata, Mammalia, Chiroptera, Mormoopidae. The record is from RefSeq and is a predicted model, not a curated record.
GCGCUCGCUUCACAGCACAUGUACCAAAACUAGAACGACACAGAAGAUUAGCAUGGCCUCUGUGCAAGGAUGACACCCACAUCUGUGAAGCAUGUUCCAUAUUUUU